CACAGGAGAACUUAUGUUAAAGAUAGGCUCUCCUUGAGUGAGGAAAGAAUGAGAAGAUACUUCAUACUAAGCUGAGGAGGAUCUGAAAGGCUCAAGAAGCCAAGAUGGGAAGUCUCUCACGACCCUGUGGCUUGGCCAGGAGGAAGCCUGAACUUGAUACAGCUGACUUGCCCAGGGCCUGUCAACAGAAGUAGUGAGCUCGGCCCAGGUCCCCAGGAGCUCGCCAUUGGUGACCUGUGUGUCCUGAGUCUCCACUUAACAAAGGAGAAUAAGACAGGCAUGAGGAGGAACUGCACAGUGACAACAGACACCAGCAUUUUGACACCAAACCAAAGUAAGGAGCCAAGUUUGCAGGACAGGUGACCAGGUCAGGGAGGCAGCAACCGAAGGGGCGACAUAAAUCCAACGUUUUGCAACAAAAAUUAAUGAAGAAUAGCCAUGAAGAGGUGCCAAGCACACACCGAAGAGCACAGGUUGUGCUAAUGUGCGAACUUUAACCUUCUACAACAAAAGAAUGCGGUGCCACAUUAAAGACAGGGUGGAGGCUUUGGCUGCCAGAAAUGAAAACAUUCAUACUUUAUUGUAUCGUAUUUUACACAUUCAUGUAGACACAGGAGCCAAGUGAA
Octodon degus (degu) is the source of this 626-nucleotide long non-coding RNA. RefSeq lists it as uncharacterized. Lineage: Eukaryota; Metazoa; Chordata; Mammalia; Rodentia; Octodontidae. The record is from RefSeq and is a predicted model, not a curated record. The transcript is spliced from 4 exons.